Molecule: ribosomal RNA, 416 nt
Filed under: uncultured archaeon
Lineage: Archaea
Description: bacterial SSU rRNA
Rfam family: Archaeal small subunit ribosomal RNA
Source: RNAcentral
AGUACUGCCAGACUGGAACCGGAGAGGUAAGAGGUACUACAGGGUAGGAGUGAAAUCUUGUAAUCCCUGUGGGACCACCUGUGGCGAAGGCGUCUUACCAGAACGGGUUCGACGGUGAGGGACGAAAGCUGGGGGCACGAACCGGAUUAGAUACCCGGGUAGUCCCAGCCGUAAACGAUGCUCGCUAGGUGUCAGGCAUGGCGCGACCGUGUCUGGUGCCGCAGGGAAGCCGUGAAGCGAGCCACCUGGGAAGUACGGCCGCAAGGCUGAAACUUAAAGGAAUUGGCGGGGGAGCACAACAACGGGUGGAGCCCUGCGGUUUAAUUGGACUCAACGCCGGACAACUCACCGGGGGCGACAGCAAUAUGUAGGCCAAGCUGAAGACUUUGCCUGAAUCGCUGAGUGGAGGUGCAUGG